CCUACGGGAUGCAGCAGUCGCGAAAACUCCGCAAUGCACGAAAGUGUGACGGGGCUACCCCGAGUGCCGUCCGCUGAGGAUGGCUUUUCCUUGGUGUAACUAGCCGGGGGAAUAAGGAGAGGGCAAGACUGAUGUCAGCCGCCGCGGUAAUACCAGCUCUCCGAGUGGUAGGGAUGAUUAUUGGGCUUAAAGCGUCCGUAGCCGGCUUAGCAAGUUUCCUGUUAAAUUCAGCGACCUAAUCGUUGAGCCGCGGGAAAUACUACUGGGCUAGGAGGCGGUAGAGGUCGACGGUACUUCUGGGGUAGGGGUGAAAUCCUAUAAUCCCGGGAGGACCACCAGUGGCGAAGGCUGUCGACUAGAACGCGCUCGACGGUGAGGGACGAAAGCUGGGGGAGCGAACCGGAUUAGAUACCCCGGUAGUC
This 422-nucleotide ribosomal RNA is filed under the name uncultured bacterium. RNAcentral describes it as "bacterial SSU rRNA". It matches the Rfam family "Archaeal small subunit ribosomal RNA", at positions 322 to 746 of the family's 1478-position model. The record is from RNAcentral.